Molecule: ribosomal RNA, 468 nt
Filed under: uncultured bacterium
Lineage: Bacteria
Description: partial 16S ribosomal RNA
Rfam family: Bacterial small subunit ribosomal RNA
Source: RNAcentral
GACGAACGCUGGCGGCGUGCUUAACACAUGCCAGUCGAACGGUAAGGCCCAGCUUUGGUGCUUUGCUCGAGAGGCGAACGGGUGAGUAACACGUGAGUAACCUGCCCCGUACUCAGGGUACACCUUACGAAACUGGGGCCAAUACCGGAUAGGAGUUCUUGCUGCUAGGUGUGGGUUGGAAAGUUUCGGUGGGUGGGGAUGGACUCGCGGCUUAUCAGCUUGUUGGUGGGGUAGGGGCUUACCAAGGCUUUGACGGGUAGCCGGCCUGGGAGGGUGACCGGCCACAUUAGGACGGAGAUGAGACACAGACUCGUACGGGAGGCAGGGGUGGGGAGGAUUACAUAAUAGAAGGAAGCCUAAUGCGACAAAGCCGCGUGCGGGAUGACGGGCAUCGAGUUGUAAAGCAAUUUCGCCUGUGACGAAAAGAGAGUGACGGUAAUAGAUGAAGAAGCACCGGCUAACUACGUG